Molecule: ribosomal RNA, 29 nt
Filed under: Atropa belladonna (belladonna)
Lineage: Eukaryota; Viridiplantae; Streptophyta; Magnoliopsida; Solanales; Solanaceae
Also listed under: 1 other name
Source: RNAcentral
CCCCUGAGAAGUCCUCGUGUUGCAUCCCU